Molecule: unclassified non-coding RNA, 392 nt
Filed under: uncultured fungus
Lineage: Eukaryota; Fungi
Description: partial contains small subunit ribosomal RNA, internal transcribed spacer 1, and 5.8S ribosomal RNA
Rfam family: Eukaryotic small subunit ribosomal RNA (bases 1-73)
Source: RNAcentral
GCAAACUUGGUCAUUUAGAGGAAGUAAAAGUCGUAACAAGGUUUCCGUAGGUGAACCUGCGGAAGGAUCAUUAAUGAGUUUUUUAAAGUAAACUUGAUGCUGGUCGGUCUCUGGACUUGCAUGUGCUCAGUUUGCGCUCAUCCAUCUCACACCUGUGCACUUACUGAAGAGAGAGAGGGAGAGGGAGAGUGGUUUAUUCGUUUAUUCGUUUAUUCGUUUAUUCGUUUAUUCAUUUAUUCGUGUAUUCAACUCAAAGUCUUCAAUCUCUCUUUUGACUUUAUAAUAAACAACUAUAUUGUUUGUGUAGAAUGCAUUAGCCUCAUUGUAGGUGAAAUAACUAUACAACUUUCAACAACGGAUCUCUUGGCUCUCGCAUCGAUGAAGAACGCAGC